RNAcentral lists this long non-coding RNA (534 nucleotides) under Sus scrofa (pig). Its description in RNAcentral is "lncRNA (ENSSSCG00055005119.1, ENSSSCG00070019672.1)". Lineage: Eukaryota; Metazoa; Chordata; Mammalia; Artiodactyla; Suidae. The record is from RNAcentral.
UGAGAACACUAAGCCAUAUUGAUCUUCUUUCAAACCAGAUGCUGAUUCAUGCAACCCCUUGCAGAUCUUUGCUGAAGUCCUUAUGGAAAAGGGAAUAAACUUGAAAAUUCCACUCUAAUAGCAAAAACAUUUUGGAAAAUCCCAAUACUUAGAGCUUCAAAGUGCCUGGCUUGGGUUUCUGAACUCCUCCAAGUGAGAGAAGUCAAGCAGGAGGUGCUGGUCCUUCAAAUACCUGCUGGGUCUGUCGACACAGGGAAGAGCUAAGAAGAGAACCAGAUAGGCGGAAAGUUUCAGUUUUGCAAGAUGAAAAUUCUAGAGAUCUGGUACAUUACAGUAAAUCUCUCCCAGUGCUUUCCCAUUUGUGCUACUCCAGGAUGCAUUGCCUUCUGUACUGCUUCCAUGCCAGAGAACAUGGUUAACUCUCUCCUGUGUUGGAUCUCCCCUGUCCUGUACUCAGGGGUUUCCUCAUUGGUAAAGCACACACUGAAGUGGCUUCCUAAUAAAGAAAGUGAAAUGCUGCUGUUUCAUAUAUGA